This 1599-nucleotide long non-coding RNA is filed under the name Cinara cedri. Lineage: Eukaryota; Metazoa; Arthropoda; Insecta; Hemiptera; Aphididae. The record is from RNAcentral.
AUUAUUAAAAGUAAAAUUGAUGAAAAACGAAGGGAAAAUUUAUGAAAAUAAUAAUUUCAUGGUUUUCUAUUUGCUUGUCGAAAAUUUUAGGAAACAGAUCUAAAAAAAUACAUUAACAUUUUUUGAAAGGUGAAACGACUAUUUCCUAUUGAUUUGUGUAUGGUAUUCUACAUAAAAAAUAUCAUGCAUAGACGGAGUAUUAGUAUAAAUGCAUUUCGAUUUUAACAAUUUCGAUUCUAGUCUACCUGUUAACAAGAUCUUCUAAUUUUAAGUUUGAGCAGCAAAAAAGCAUAAUUUGGGUGGAAAUAUUGUGCAUAUUUAAGUUGAAUUACAUAACUCUCCCACUACUCAAACUUAAAAGUAGAAUAUUUCGUCAACGGGUUGAUUGAAAUAAAAUAUGUCAACAUUAAAAUAGAUAUAAAUUAAUUCUCCAUCUUUUCAGUGGAAGAAACAAAAUACGUAGAAUAAAGUCAUAUCAAAAUUUAGUAUUAGCAAUAAUUAUUUCAAAUAGUAAAUUCUAUUAGUUCUAGUAGGAAAUAUUUUAUUUUUUAAUAAACAAAAAAAGACAUCCUAGAAUAAUGGGAUGGGUGCAGCAAAUGUUAUAGGUAAUUUAAUGUAUACCAGUAUGCAACGAUAAAAAACAUUGCUUAAUAAUUUUUUUUGUUUUGUUGUCAGUGGUCACAUCAUCUAUUCAUUGUUCUGGUCCAUAUUGAAUUUGUUAUGUUUCUGUAAUAGUUUAUUCAAUUGUAUUUUAAACUUUUCCUAUGCGAUUAGCGUUAUCUGUUUCUGUGUGUGUGUGUGUGUGUGAGGGAAGAACACAAUUGUACAUUUUUUUUUUGAAUAAAUUAAUAAAAUAAGUAUAGCAUUGCCAUUGUACCACGUAUUAAUCAUAAAAUACACUACUAUUAUUAUUUAGUUGAGUCAACAGGCUUAUUAUUACAGUUCCUACACGGUCAAGAAAUAUUGUAUUUUUUUGUUUAGCAUUUUAGGCCAUUUAGGCCCUUUGCUGUCAGUAUCAAACUCUUCCAUUACUCUCUAUUAUACGCAUGGUCCAUGUUUUCAUUCCAAUCUGGUCUCAGCUCCUUAAUGUUCUUUUUGACUGAAUCUAACCACCGUUUCUUUGGUCUACGAUGUGGUCUAUUUGUGUUUAAUUUGUUUACAAGUACCGUCUUGACAAUACUGUUGUCGGUUCUCUAUACGUGGCCUGCCCACUUCAAUCUUGCUCCUUUUAGAAAUUGUGCUGUACUUCUUUUUCUAUAUAAUAGCUGCAUCUGUUCGUUUGACCUUCUCUCCCACACUUUGGUAUCAGGGUUAUAAACGGCACCAUAAAUUAACCAUAAAAGACCAUAAAAUAAAUAUUGUAUAAUUAAGUUUAAUUGAUACCGACAAUUCUACGUUAAUUAUAUAUUUUAUUUAUACGUGUAUAUUGCUCUUGUACAUUAAGAAUAUUCAUUUUUUAUUACAUAUUUAUAAUUUUUGAUGUUUAGCUUUAUGAUUUUUUUGCUUUAAUUACAUAUAAUUAUCAUAUUUAUUUUUUAUAUUGUUGAAUUACCGAUUAUAAGGCUGUCAUAAUUUAAUAUUAAUUUUAUAUUUAAAUAC